GAUGAACGCUGGCGGCGUGCCUAAUACAUGCAAGUCGAGCGAACGGACGAGAAGCUUGCUUCUCUGAUGUUAGCGGCGGACGGGUGAGUAACACGUGGAUAACCUACCUAUAAGACUGGGAUAACUUCGGGAAACCGGAGCUAAUACCGGAUAAUAUUUUGAACCGCAUGGUUCAAAAGUGAAAGACGGUCUUGCUGUCACUUAUAGAUGGAUCCGCGCUGCAUUAGCUAGUUGGUAAGGUAACGGCUUACCAAGGCAACGAUGCAUAGCCGACCUGAGAGGGUGAUCGGCCACCCUGGAACUGAGACACGGUCCAGACUCCUACGGGAGGCAGCAGUAGGGAAUCUUCCGCAAUGGGCGAAAGCCUGACGGAGCAACGCCGCGUGAGUGAUGAAGGUCUUCGGAUCGUAAAGCUCUGUUAUUAGGGAAGAACAUAUGUGUAAGUAACUGUGCACAUCUUGACGGUACCUAAUCAGAAAGCCCCGGCUAACUACGUG
This 497-nucleotide ribosomal RNA is filed under the name uncultured bacterium. RNAcentral describes it as "partial 16S ribosomal RNA". It matches the Rfam family "Bacterial small subunit ribosomal RNA", at positions 28 to 507 of the family's 1533-position model. The record is from RNAcentral.